UUUUGUAGUCCUCUUUUUUUGGUACUUUUCUUCUUCUUCUUGAACCGGAUUUAGCAGCCAGUGGUUUGGGAUAUUUUUCAGCUUCACUUGAGUCCAACCAACUGAGAGGAUUGCGAUUAUAGACGGGCCAGUUAGAGAUGGUGACAAGGGCGAUAAAGACAAAAUCACCAACAUAUGUUAACAUUGACUUUUCUUAUUUGGGGAAUUCUAGUGCUCAAUAGACGUUGAGAAGUCAUUUUCAGAACAGUGACUAUGAGUGAGGGCCUUUCUUCUUCUUCUUCUUCUUCUUCUUCUUUUCACUUUAAAUAACUUCUGAAUGGAGGGAGGAAGAAUGAUGUAUAUGUUGUAUAUACAUAUACACACACACACACACACACACACACACACACACACACACACACACACAUAUAUAUCUGUAUAGUUAUGAAAUCUCCUAUUUUUGGUAAUUUUGCUUUUUCUUUUUAUUCUUUAAAUAACUUCUGAAGGAAGGAAGAAUGAUACAUAUGUUGUACAUGAAUAUAUAUACUUUGUAUAAUCAUGUAUAACCAUGUUUAUUUGUGGGUAUUCUCAUAGUUAUACAAAAUUAUAUAUGAUUAUACAUAAGUAUACAAGAUUAUACAUAAUUAUAUAUGAUUAUAUUUGUGUGUUAACAAUGUAUAUAAGGUGUUUAAUAAUGUAAUUUUUUAUUUUUUCCAGUGAAAUAAGAAUUUCCCUUGCAAAACUUUAAAUUUUGCAAAAAACAUAUAAAAAUAAAAUUAUAGACUAAGGAUGAAUAUAUUUUUAAUUUACUUCAACUUCCUGAUAUUUUUUACUAUACAGAGGGAAGUAACAAUAAAUAAAAAUGAAAAUAGAAAAAAGGUAAAGAUAACAAUGAAAGAAAAAAGCGAAAUCUGAUUUACGCGUGAUUUUGGGUGUAGUUGAUGAAGUUGUUGGUUAGGCGCUGAAAUAAUUUGUGGGCUACCGCAUGAAAACUGUAAUUGUGGGUUAGGCGGCUGAAAAGUGCUUCCCCCAAGUGUACUUAUGUGAAAUUAUCCCUUUUUAUAAUGUUAGGGUCUCCUUUAUAUAAUAAGAGACCAUCCUCGAAAUAAUAAAAAAGGUACAAUUUAUAGAGAAUCUUCGAUAGAAUAUUCCUUCUGAGUUUUUAAAGAUAAACUAGAUGAUUCAUGGCUUGUACGUCCACGAACGUUGAUGAUGGUCCGACCUUGGUGUGUACGUCCACGUCCUUGGUGUGUACGUCCACGUCUUUAGUGUGUACGUCCAUGACAGUUGAGGAAGCCCACGUCCUGAGUGUGUACGUCCGUGACAGUUGAGGAUGCCCACGUCCUUGGUGUGUACAUCCACGGCCUUGAUCUCGUACCGAAUUUCUCUGAUCUAAUUUUGACCCGUGAAAUUGAGAACAAAAUUAGAAAGUAAAUUUCAGAAAAAUCAAAUUAAUUUUGUGAUUCAAAGACGUAUUUCAACUUCAGUUCUACUCGCAGAUUAUGGAGAUUUUCAAAAAUUAAUAUGAGAAAAGCUUAUUACAAGAAUCUUUAAUGUAAUUAAAUAAAAAAUAGCCUUCCAAAUACCAAUAGCUAGGAAAACGGAUGAAACUAUGAAGUUAAUUACUCUAAUUUCCUUUUUCUUUUACAUGAUGCUUAAGAAAAUAUUAAUCAAGAGGAGUUUUUGAUUAUUUUAUCCUUAUUUAAAAUCUCUUCAUUAUCGAGGAGUAGUCUUCAAAGACAAUUACUACUAUUAAGGAUAAAACAGAAAAAAAUAAUUAAUUUUAUCUUGAAUUUCUUAAAUAAUAAAUAAUUUAAAACAGUUUAUUUUUAAAAAAUACGACAGAUAAUAAUUUAUAAAUAGAAAAAAAAGUGUGGUUCAUUUGAAUACUUGACGUGUGAAGAGUUUGGUACACUACUAUUCCACGAUUAUUUUUAUAAAAUUCAUUUUUUGACUCCUUCCUUCAAUCAAGUUCAAAGACAAUCACAGGCUCUCUCCUUCUGUCUCCACGUUUCUAAUUUUCCUGAAUUGCAAAUCCUCAUUCUUCAAUUAUUCUUUUAAAUAUAUUUUCCAAAUAUAAUCUGUUUAAAUGAUAAUUAAAUUUUUGUGUCGCACCCCUUUUCUUUCCUAUGUCACCUCCUCAAGAACUUCAAUUUUUAGUUCAAAACGUCACUUCUUCUCUAAUCAUCCGACAACAGUCAUCAGUUUCUGCAAAAAUCAAGGUAACUCUUGUUCUAUUUUUCUAUAUGGAAUAUUAUCAUUUUCAGAAUUAGUCCUGGUGCAUCUAAACUGGCGUCGACACCAGUCAUCAAAAAUAAAGUUAGCUUUUUAUAAGUAUAACAAAUUAUGGUGAAUAUUUUAGCCAAAUUGUCCAAGAUUAGGCUCUAUUUGAUCAGUUUUUAAUUAUUAUCCCGUAUUUGUGCGGGUGGGAGGUGAAAUUAGUCAAAAUGUGCGCAAAUUUGUUAACAGCUUAACUCAUCGGAUUGAAGAAAAGAAAUGGAGAAGAUGAUGAACAGUAGAG
Molecule: long non-coding RNA, 2500 nt
Filed under: Nicotiana benthamiana
Lineage: Eukaryota; Viridiplantae; Streptophyta; Magnoliopsida; Solanales; Solanaceae
Description: long non-coding RNA (NBEN_LNC031364)
Source: RNAcentral